Molecule: ribosomal RNA, 497 nt
Filed under: uncultured bacterium
Lineage: Bacteria
Description: partial 16S ribosomal RNA
Rfam family: Bacterial small subunit ribosomal RNA
Source: RNAcentral
GACGAACGCUGGCGGCGUGCCUAAUACAUGCAAGUCGAGCGAACAGACGAGGAGCUUGCUCCUCCGACGUUAGCGGCGGACGGGUGAGUAACACGUGGAUAACCUACCUAUAAGACUGGGAUAACUUCGGGAAACCGGAGCUAAUACCGGAUAAUAUAUUGAACCGCAUGGGUCAAUAGUGAAAGACGGUUUUGGUGUCACUUAUAGAUGACUCCGCGUCUCAUUAGGGAGUUGGUAAGGAAAUGGCUUACCAAGACGACGAUGCGUAGCCGACCCAAGAGGGUCGUUUGCCACACUGGAGGUUAGUCACGGUCCAGACUCCUACGAGGGGCACCGGUAGGGGAUAUUCCGCAAUGGGCGAAUGGCUUAUAUAGGAACACCGCGUGAAAGAUGAAGGUCUUCGGAUCCUUAAACGCUGUAGUUAUGGAAGAUCAAAAGUGUAAGUAACCAUGCACGUCUUGACGGUACCUAAUCAAAAAGCAACGGCUAACUACGUG